This 495-nucleotide ribosomal RNA is filed under the name uncultured bacterium. Its description in RNAcentral is "partial 16S ribosomal RNA". It matches the Rfam family "Bacterial small subunit ribosomal RNA", at positions 28 to 507 of the family's 1533-position model. The record is from RNAcentral.
GACGAACGCUGGCGGCGUGCCUAAUACAUGCAAGUAGAACGCUGAAGGAGGAGCUUGCUCUUCUGGAUGAGUUGCGAACGGGUGAGUAACGCGUAGGUAACCUGCCUCGUAGCGGGGGAUAACUAUUGGAAACGAUAGCUAAUACCGCAUAACAGUAGAUGUUGCAUGACAUUUACUUAAAAGGUGCAAUUGCAUCACUACUAGAUGGCCCUGCGUUGUAUUAGCUAGUUGGUGGGGUAACGGCUCACCAAGGCGACGAUACAUAGCCGACCUGAGAGGGUGAUCGGCCACGCUGGGACGGAGACACGGCCAAGACUCCUACGGGAGGCAGCAGUAGGGGAUCUUCGGCAAUGGACGCAAGUCUGACCGAUCAACGCCGCGUGAGUGCAGAAGGUUGUCGGAUCGUAAAGCUCUGUUGUAAGAGAAGAACGUGUGUGAGAGUGGAAAGUUCACACUGUGACGGUAGCUUACCAGAAAGGGACGGCUAACUACGUG